GUCGUGGGGGAUAACGUAGCGAAAGCUACGCUAAUACCGCAUACGAUCUCUGGAUGAAAGCGGGGGACCGCAAGGCCUCGCGCGAUUGGAGCGGCCGAUGGCAGAUUAGGUAGUUGGUGGGGUAAAGGCUCACCAAGCCAACGAUCUGUAGCUGGUCUGAGAGGACGACCAGCCACACUGGGACUGAGACACGGCCCAGACUCCUACGGGAGGCAGCAGUGGGGAAUUUUGGACAAUGGGCGCAAGCCUGAUCCAGCCAUUCCGCGUGCAGGAUGAAGGCCCUCGGGUUGUAAACUGCUUUUGUACGGAACGAAACGGUGCUCUCUAAUACAGGGCGCUAAUGACGGUACCGUAAGAAUAAGCACCGGCUAACUACGUGCCAGCAGCCGCGGUAAUACGUAGGGUGCAAGCGUUAAUCGGAAUUACUGGGCGUAAAGCGUGCGCAGGCGGUGAUGUAAGACAGAUGUGAAAUCCCCGGGCUCAACCUGGGAACUGCAUUUGUGACUGCAUCGCUGGAGUGCGGCAGAGGGGGAUGGAAUUCCGCGUGUAGCAGUGAAAU
RNAcentral lists this ribosomal RNA (559 nucleotides) under Variovorax sp. 3C2-36. RNAcentral describes it as "bacterial SSU rRNA". It matches the Rfam family "Bacterial small subunit ribosomal RNA", at positions 133 to 687 of the family's 1533-position model. Lineage: Bacteria; Pseudomonadati; Pseudomonadota; Betaproteobacteria; Burkholderiales; Comamonadaceae. The record is from RNAcentral.